GACGAACGCUGGCGGCGUGCUCAACACAUGCAAGUCGAGCGGUAAGGCCCUUUCGGGGGUACACGAGCGGCGAACGGGUGAGUAACACGUGGGUGACCUGCCCUCAGCCCUGGGAUAAGCCUGGGAAACUGGGUCUAAUACUGGAUAUGACUCCACGGUGCAUGUCGUGGGGUGGAAAGCCUUGUGCGGCUGAGGAUGGGCCCGCGGCCUAUCAGCUUGUUGGGGGGUGAUGGCCUACCAAGGCGACGACGGGUAGCCGACCUGAGAGGGCGACCGGCCACACUGGGACUGAGACACGGCCCAGACUCCUACGGGAGGCAGCAGUGGGGAAUCUUGCGCAAUGGGCGAAAGCCUGACGCAGCGACGCCGCGUGA
Molecule: ribosomal RNA, 374 nt
Filed under: uncultured bacterium
Lineage: Bacteria
Description: bacterial SSU rRNA
Rfam family: Bacterial small subunit ribosomal RNA
Source: RNAcentral